UCAAAUAUAGCGGCGGAGCUAGGUCGUGCUCUAAGCGUAGUAACCAAAUUCUCGCUUCUGAAGCCGGCCCGGGUCCUGCCGUAAAACCCCCUAUAUUUUUCUGGUUGACCUCGGAUCAGGUAGGAAUACCCGCUGAACUUAAGCAUAUCAAUAAGCGGAGGAAAAGAAACCAACAGGGAUUGCCCUAGUAACGGCGAGUGAAGCGGCAACAGCUCAAAUUUGAAAUCUGGCCUUCGGGUCCGAGUUGUAAUUUGCAGAGGAUGCUUUUGGCGCGGUGCCUUCCGAGUUCCCUGGAACGGGACGCCUUAGAGGGUGAGAGCCCCGUACGGUUGGACACCAAGCCUCUGUAAAGCUCCUUCGACGAGUCGAGUAGUUUGGGAAUGCUGCUCUAAAUGGGAGGUAAAUUUCUUCUAAAGCUAAAUACCGGCCAGAGACCGAUAGCGCACAAGUAGAGUGAUCGAAAGAUGAAAAGCACUUUGAAAAGAGGGUUAAAUAGCACGUGAAAUUGUUGAAAGGGAAGCGUUUACGGCCAGACCUUUUCCUGGCGGAUCAUCUGGUGUUCUCACCAGUGCACUUCGCCAGGUUUAGGCCAGCAUCGGCUUCUGUAGGGGGAUAAAAGCAGUGGGAAAGUAGYUCCCUCGGGAGUGUUAUAGCCCUAAGCAUAAUACCC
RNAcentral lists this ribosomal RNA (670 nucleotides) under Sordariomycetes sp. RNAcentral's name for it is "eukaryotic LSU rRNA". Lineage: Eukaryota; Fungi; Ascomycota; Sordariomycetes. The record is from RNAcentral.